UACCAUGUUAGUCAUGCCUUCCAACCAUAUCCAAUGUUAUCAUCAAGGUCACCAUUAAAAAAGCCAUUAUCAGUUAACUCAUGGGCAAUAUCAGGAACAAUGUCAUCCUGCAAAUGGAGAUUCUGAGGCAAUUCUGGCACUUUCUGUUUAAAACCACUAUUGCCACCAGCUGCAGAAGAAUCACUGUUCGAAGCAGCUUUAAAACUGUUGCUCCUACUUGGUGCUGAUCCAGCAACACUUCCUGACACAAUGGCAGCAGCAGGAGGUGCUGCAGAAGAGUUGCUUCCGAAACCCAAUCCAUUACUUGCCAUACUCCCAUUCAUAUUCUGUCCAGCAAAAGGAUGUUGUUGAACUCCUCCCCCACUAUUAUUAGACAUCUCCUGCAGCAGUUGCUGGAUCAUCUGCUGUUGCA
RNAcentral lists this unclassified non-coding RNA (412 nucleotides) under Hevea brasiliensis (rubber tree). The record is from RNAcentral. Lineage: Eukaryota; Viridiplantae; Streptophyta; Magnoliopsida; Malpighiales; Euphorbiaceae.